AGAAGUUGCUGGCAGUCAGAGGCAGGGGAGCUGUCACUCGCGGCGAGCCGGGCGGCGGCCAGGGCGCAAAGUUGAGAGCAGUCUCUAGUCUGAGCCUUUCAGUCGCCUUCCAGUAUCAUCAGUACCACGGGCUCCACCUUGCUGCGGCCCCUCAGCAACCCAGUGCACCUGCCACUCGACCAGAGGGAAAGCAGUCAGGAGUGGGAGGCCUCUGAACAAGCUGUAUUUUGUGUAGCCGCCAGCUUCCAUCUUUCUCCAGGCAGAACGCUGGCCCUCAGCACAUCUUUCUGCUUCCCCUCGGUCAGACCACCGAGAACUGCCGCUGUCCUGUCUGACUCCUCCUGUUUUGGUACUAGACCCCAGAUGAGGAUCUCAGGAAGAUCCACAAAGCUGCGUCCAGGGGAACGAACGUGUGGAAGCUGCAGCGGAGCCUCCUGCUCAAGAGUAAAGGACCGGUCUGAAACCUACAAGAACAGAUUCUCACAGUAGACGAGGAGCCUGUUUUUCAGCUAGCUGCUGCAAGGAGCUGGACAUUUCUCCCUUCAAAUAGGACCUGGAAGGCCUGGAAGCAUCUGGAGAAGGGCAUGGCUGUGAGUAGAGAAACAGAGGAUACAGGCUAAAGCAGGAGGAAGCGAGAGGACUCACGGAAAGCCUUGCUGCACUCUCCAAAAGAGCUGCCCUUUUCACGUGAAGAGCUAUGUGAUCGGAUCCCCGGUUUGGCAGAGUAGACAUGCGAGAAGACUGAACGUUUCAUCGUUGAAACCUCUUAAAGGUGGAAUGUGUGGCAGAAAGAACGUCUGAGAAGCUCACGCGAUUUGCAGAAGGAACAUUUGUAGAAGAUUCCCUGUUUUCCGAAGGAAUGUCAAGUUCCAAAGGACACAUAUUGCUUGUCUCUGAACUUCUCAGCUGCCUGCAGAUCUUCCUGUUUUUCAGCUGCAGUUAGGGUUUGUCUGAGGAGAAGCAUAACAUCCCUCCAGGCUUACCCUGGUUGCUCAGUGAAGAAUAAAGUACAGGGAACAUGAGAGAAUACAUGGGAGAUCAAUCAAGAUGCUACUUCAGUAAUCCAUGACAAUGACAACGUAAAGUAAUGCAAGGUGCACGUGAUGGGUAUGGCCAAAUGCUCCACAAAUAAAUGUGUUGAAUGAAUGAACAAAUGAAUAAGCGAAGUGAAUGGAACAUCAAACUGCAUAAAAAUAUAUUUAUUCAUAAAUGAGAGGUGAUGAUUGCCAACAUAUCAUAAUCAGACUCUGACCUUGGUUACUUAUGAGUUUGACAACGAAGAGGAAAGAGGAUCAGAAAUUCUACUCCCAGGAAUUUCUCCUAAGAAGAUAAUCAGAAAAGUUUACAAAGAUGAAUAGAAAAGAAGAGUCACUGCAGCCUUAUUUGUAAAAGUGAAAAAUAGCAACAGCCCAAAUGUCAUGAAUGGAGAAUUAAUAUAUGGUGCAUCCAUACAAAAAUACUGUGCAGCGAGUAAGCCAAUGAAGCCCAAAAUUUCUGACAUGGACAUUGACAUAGCAGAGUGACAAUAACGAGGUUAUAAAACAUCAUCAGUGAAAGGUC
Homo sapiens (human) is the source of this 1560-nucleotide long non-coding RNA. Ensembl annotates it as long intergenic non-protein coding RNA 1606. NCBI's taxonomy places the organism in Eukaryota, Metazoa, Chordata, Mammalia, Primates, Hominidae. The record is from Ensembl.